This is a non-coding RNA of Gorilla gorilla gorilla (western lowland gorilla), 148 nucleotides long. It matches the Rfam family "Metazoan signal recognition particle RNA". From Rfam's summary of the family: The signal recognition particle (SRP) is a universally conserved ribonucleoprotein. It is involved in the co-translational targeting of proteins to membranes. Lineage: Eukaryota; Metazoa; Chordata; Mammalia; Primates; Hominidae. The record is from Rfam.
GCUGGGUGUAGUGGCAUGCACCUGUAAUCCCAGCUACUCGGGAGGCUGAGGCAGGAGAAUUGCUUGAACCCAGGAGGUGGAGGUUGCAGUGAGCCAAGAUCGCGCCACUGCACUCUAGCCUGGGCGACAGAGUAAGACUCUGUCUCAA